This 527-nucleotide long non-coding RNA is filed under the name Musa acuminata (dwarf banana). Its description in RNAcentral is "long non-coding RNA (MACU_LNC003814)". The record is from RNAcentral. Lineage: Eukaryota; Viridiplantae; Streptophyta; Magnoliopsida; Zingiberales; Musaceae.
GAACUCAAAGUCUUGUAAUCUUGUGUCAGUCAUCUGUGCCAGAGCCAAAUGCUGAUGCCCAUGAAUCAUGGUCAAUUUUUCCCUCCACCUCAAACAAGCAAUCUUCCCUUUGGUUAUCAUCUGUUCAUGAGCAACCGCUAAAGCAUCCAUUAUCUGCAACAGGAGCAGUUUAUUUUCAGUUCAAAUGAACUGUAUAAUCUCAUAUUUUGGUGCCUCUGAUUUGCUGAGGAGUUUUGAAGUUGUCAGAGGUGAUCAUCCACUGCUUUGUCAGUCCAUCCAAGCUUCUGAAUUGCUUUCUGCUCUAUGUUGGCAAAAGCUGGUAAUCACUAUUUGGGGACUUCUCAAGUCAAUCUGUUUUACAAUAGAAAACAAAUAAAAUCAUGAUCUGCAUUCCAAUAUGAUUUUUAACAGUUUCUAAACUUAAUCAUUGUUUAAUGGUUUCAACUACAUCAUGUGUUAUAGCAGAUGGAUGAUGUAGGUGAGGUGAAUCCUGUCCAUGAACUCCACAUGCUACCUGAUUCUGCACC